This 262-nucleotide ribosomal RNA is filed under the name uncultured bacterium. RNAcentral's name for it is "partial 16S ribosomal RNA". It matches the Rfam family "Bacterial small subunit ribosomal RNA", at positions 524 to 776 of the family's 1533-position model. The record is from RNAcentral.
UACGGAGGGUGCAAACGUUGCUCGGAAUCAUUGGGCGUAAAGCGCACGUAGGCGGUCCAGCAAGUCGGGUGUGAAAGCCCUCGGCUUAACCGGGGAAGUGCAUUCGAAACUACUGGACUAGAGUACUGCAGGGGGAGACUGGAAAUUCCUGGUGGUAGCGGUGGAAUGCGCAGACUAGUCAGGAGGAACACCGGUGGCGAAGGCGGGUCUCUGGGCAAUGAACUGACCGCUGGAGGAGCGAAAGCCGUGGGGAGCGAACAGG